GGGGGGUUGGCACAGUGGUAGCGCAUCUGAUUCCAGUCCAGAAGGUCACGCGUUCGACUCGCGUACCCCUCA
RNAcentral lists this transfer RNA (72 nucleotides) under Talaromyces stipitatus ATCC 10500. Its description in RNAcentral is "tRNA-Trp (CCA) (tRNA-Trp-CCA-1-1)". It matches the Rfam family "tRNA". From Rfam's summary of the family: Transfer RNA (tRNA) molecules are approximately 80 nucleotides in length. Their secondary structure includes four short double-helical elements and three loops (D, anti-codon, and T loops). Further hydrogen bonds mediate the characteristic L-shaped molecular structure. tRNAs have two regions of fundamental functional importance: the anti-codon, which is responsible for specific mRNA codon recognition, and the 3' end, to which the tRNAs corresponding amino acid is attached (by aminoacyl-tRNA synthetases). tRNAs cope with the degeneracy of the genetic code in two manners: having more than one tRNA (with a specific anti-codon) for a particular amino acid; and 'wobble' base-pairing, i.e. permitting non-standard base-pairing at the 3rd anti-codon position. The record is from RNAcentral. Lineage: Eukaryota; Fungi; Ascomycota; Eurotiomycetes; Eurotiales; Trichocomaceae.